Molecule: unclassified non-coding RNA, 221 nt
Filed under: Hevea brasiliensis (rubber tree)
Lineage: Eukaryota; Viridiplantae; Streptophyta; Magnoliopsida; Malpighiales; Euphorbiaceae
Source: RNAcentral
CGCCGAAGUAUUGCUUCAUCAAGUUCUGAUGGGCGAUUUGUUGCAGCAAGAACCAUCACUUGCGCAUUCUGGUCUGUCGUAAACCCAUCCCACAAAGCCAUGAACUCAGUCUUCAUAUUUGUUAAUGCCUCGUGAUCUGUAGUUCGGCGCUGCCCCAAGAAACUGUCAACCUCAUCAAUAAAUAUAAUAGCAGGCUGAAGUUUAUAAGCCAGGCUAAAAAC